GCAGCUCAGUGGAAGGUCAUCUGCUUUGCAUGCAAAAGGUCCUAGGUUCAAUGCCUGGCAUCUCCU
This 66-nucleotide transfer RNA is filed under the name Sphaerodactylus townsendi. RNAcentral describes it as "tRNA-Ala". The record is from RNAcentral. Lineage: Eukaryota; Metazoa; Chordata; Lepidosauria; Squamata; Sphaerodactylidae.